RNAcentral lists this ribosomal RNA (253 nucleotides) under uncultured bacterium. RNAcentral's name for it is "partial 16S ribosomal RNA". It matches the Rfam family "Bacterial small subunit ribosomal RNA", at positions 524 to 776 of the family's 1533-position model. The record is from RNAcentral.
UACGAAGGGGGCUAGCGUUGCUCGGAAUCACUGGGCGUAAAGCGUGCGUAGACGGCUAUCUAAGUCGGGUGUGAAAGCCCCGGGCUCAACCUGGGAAUUGCAUUCGAGACUGAAUAGCUAGGGUACGGUAGAGGGAAGCGGAAUUUCCGGUGUAGCGGUGAAAUGCGUAGAUAUCGGAAGGAACAUCAGUGGCGAAAGCGGCUUCCUGGACCAGUACCGACGUUCAGGCACGAAAGCGUGGGGAGCAAACAGG